This 2930-nucleotide ribosomal RNA is filed under the name Proteus mirabilis. Its description in RNAcentral is "23S ribosomal RNA". It matches the Rfam family "Bacterial large subunit ribosomal RNA". Lineage: Bacteria; Pseudomonadati; Pseudomonadota; Gammaproteobacteria; Enterobacterales; Morganellaceae. The record is from RNAcentral.
GGGUUGUGAGGUUAAGCGAAUAAGCGUACACGGUGGAUGCCUAGGCAAUCAGAGGCGAUGAAGGACGUGCUAAUCUGCGAAAAGCGUCGGUAAGGUGAUAUGAACCGUUAUACCCGACGAUAUCCGAAUGGGGAAACCCAGUAUCCAAUGGAUACUAUCAUUAACUGAAUCCAUAGGUUAAUGAGGCGAACCGGGAGAACUGAAACAUCUCAGUACCCCGAGGAAAAGAAAUCAACCGAGAUUCCCCUAGUAGCGGCGAGCGAACGGGGAGCAGCCCAGAGUCUUAAUCAAUAGCAGUGUCAGGAGAACGGUCUGGAAAGUCCGGCAGUAAAGGGUGAUAGCCCCGUAUCUGAAGAUGCUGUUAUUGUGAACUCGACGAGUAGGGCGGGACACGUGUUAUCCUGUCUGAAUAUGGGGGGACCAUCCUCCAAGGCUAAAUACUCCUGAUUGACCGAUAGUGAACCAGUACCGUGAGGGAAAGGCGAAAAGAACCCCGGCGAGGGGAGUGAAAAAGAACCUGAAACCGUGUACGUACAAGCAGUAGGAGCCUCUUUAUGGGGUGACUGCGUACCUUUUGUAUAAUGGGUCAGCGACUUAUAUUCUGUAGCAAGGUUAACCGUAUAGGGGAGCCGUAGGGAAACCGAGUCUUAACUGGGCGAAUGAGUUGCAGGGUAUAGACCCGAAACCCGGUGAUCUAUCCAUGGGCAGGUUGAAGGUUGGGUAACACUAACUGGAGGACCGAACCGACUAAUGUUGAAAAAUUAGCGGAUGACUUGUGGAUGGGGGUGAAAGGCCAAUCAAACCGGGAGAUAGCUGGUUCUCCCCGAAAGCUAUUUAGGUAGCGCCUCGUGAACUCAUCUUCGGGGGUAGAGCACUGUUUCGACUAGGGGGUCAUCCCGACUUACCAACUCGAUGCAAACUGCGAAUACCGAAGAAUGUUAUCACGGGAGACACACGGCGGGUGCUAACGUCCGUCGUGAAGAGGGAAACAACCCAGACCGCCAGCUAAGGUCCCAAAGUCAUGGUUAAGUGGGAAACGAAGUGGGAAGGCUCAGACAGCCAGGAUGUUGGCUUAGAAGCAGCCAUCAUUUAAAGAAAGCGUAAUAGCUCACUGGUCGAGUCGGCCCGCGCGGAAGAUGUAACGGGGCUAAACCAUGCACCGAAGCUGCGGCAGCGACACAUAGUGUUGUUGGGUAGGGGAGCGUUCUGUAAGCCUGCGAAGGUGUACUGUGAGGUAUGCUGGAGGUAUCAGAAGUGCGAAUGCUGACAUAAGUAACGAUAAUGCGGGUGAAAAACCCGCACGCCGGAAGACCAAGGGUUCCUGUCCAACGUUAAUCGGGGCAGGGUGAGUCGACCCCUAAGGCGAGGCUGAAAAGCGUAGUCGAUGGGAAACGGGUUAAUAUUCCCGUACUGGUGGUAACUGCGAUGGGGGAACGGAGAAGGCUAGGUUGUCCGGGCGACGGUCGUCCCGGUUCAAGCAGGUAGGCAGAGUGAUUAGGCAAAUCCGGUCACUUAAUGCUGAGAUGUGAUGACGAACCACCAAGGUGGUGAAGCAAUUGAUGCCCCGCUUCCAGGAAAAGCCUCUAAGCUUCAGGUUACCAACAAUCGUACCCCAAACCGACACAGGUGGUCAGGUAGAGAAUACUCAGGCGCUUGAGAGAACUCGGGUGAAGGAACUAGGCAAAAUGGUGCCGUAACUUCGGGAGAAGGCACGCUGGCGGUAGGUAAAGUCCCUCGCGGACGGCGCUGAAGCCAGUCGAAGAUACCAGCUGGCUGCAACUGUUUAUUAAAAACACAGCACUGUGCAAACACGAAAGUGGACGUAUACGGUGUGACGCCUGCCCGGUGCUGGAAGGUUAAUUGAUGGGGUUAGCGCAAGCGAAGCUCCUGAUCGAAGCCCCAGUAAACGGCGGCCGUAACUAUAACGGUCCUAAGGUAGCGAAAUUCCUUGUCGGGUAAGUUCCGACCUGCACGAAUGGCGUAAUGAUGGCCAGGCUGUCUCCACCCGAGACUCAGUGAAAUUGAACUCGCUGUGAAGAUGCAGUGUACCCGCGGCAAGACGGAAAGACCCCGUGAACCUUUACUAUAGCUUGACACUGAACAUUGAGCCUUGAUGUGUAGGAUAGGUGGGAGGCUUUGAAGUGUGGACGCCAGUCUGCAUGGAGCCAACCUUGAAAUACCACCCUUUAACGUUUGAUGUUCUAACCUAGGCCCAUAAACUGGGUCGGGGACCGUGUCUGGUGGGUAGUUUGACUGGGGCGGUCUCCUCCUAAAGAGUAACGGAGGAGCACGAAGGUUGGCUAAGCAUGGUCGGACAUCAUGCGGUUAGUGCAAAGGCAUAAGCCAGCUUGACUGCGAGAGUGACGGCUCGAGCAGGUACGAAAGUAGGUCUUAGUGAUCCGGUGGUUCUGAAUGGAAGGGCCAUCGCUCAACGGAUAAAAGGUACUCCGGGGAUAACAGGCUGAUACCGCCCAAGAGUUCAUAUCGACGGCGGUGUUUGGCACCUCGAUGUCGGCUCAUCACAUCCUGGGGCUGAAGUAGGUCCCAAGGGUAUGGCUGUUCGCCAUUUAAAGUGGUACGCGAGCUGGGUUUAGAACGUCGUGAGACAGUUCGGUCCCUAUCUGCCGUGGGCGUUGGAAGAUUGAGAGGGGUUGCUCCUAGUACGAGAGGACCGGAGUGAACGCACCACUGGUGUUCGGGUUGUCAUGCCAAUGGCAUUGCCCGGUAGCUAAGUGCGGAAGAGAUAACCGCUGAAAGCAUCUAAGCGGGAAACUUGCCUCGAGAUGAGUCUUCCCUGUCGCUUUAAGCGACCUAAAGGAACGUUUAAGACUAAGACGUUGAUAGGCUGGGUGUGUAAGCGUAGCGAUACGUUGAGCUAACCAGUACUAAUGAACCGUGAGGCUUAACCUGACAACACCGAAAGUGUUUUG